This 1109-nucleotide non-coding RNA is filed under the name Ipomoea nil (Japanese morning glory). RNAcentral's name for it is "Eukaryotic small subunit ribosomal RNA". It matches the Rfam family "Eukaryotic small subunit ribosomal RNA", at positions 655 to 1831 of the family's 1831-position model. Lineage: Eukaryota; Viridiplantae; Streptophyta; Magnoliopsida; Solanales; Convolvulaceae. The record is from Rfam by way of RNAcentral.
GCCGGUCCGCCCCACGGGUGUGCACGGUCGUCUCGUCCCUUCUGCCGCGAUGCGCUCCUGCCUUAAUUGGCCGGGUCGUGCCUCCGGCGCUGUUACUUUGAAGAAAUUAGAGUGCUCAAAGCAAGCCUACGCUCUGUAUACAUUAGCAUGGGAUAACAUUAUAGGAUUUCGGUCCUAUUACGUUGCCUUCGGAUCGGAAUAAUGAUUAACAGGGACAGUCGGGGCAUUCGUAUUCAUAGUCAGAGGUGAAAUUCUUGGAUUAUGAAAGACGAACAACUGCGAAAGCAUUUGCCAAGAUGUUUUCAUUAAUCAAGAACGAAAGUUGGGGGCUCGAAGACAUCAGAUACCGUCCUAGUCUCAACCAUAAACGAUGCGACCAGGAUCGCGGAUGUGCUUUUAGGACUCCGCCGCACCUUAUGAGAAAUCAAAGUCUUUGGUUCCGGGGGAGUAUGGUCGCAAGGCUGAAACUAAAGAAUUGACGGAAGGGCACCACCAGGAGUGAGCCUGCGCUUAAAUUGACUCAACACGGGAAACUUACCAGUCCAGACAUAGUAAGAUUGACAGACUGAGAGCUCUUUCGAGAUUCUAUGGUGGUGUGCAUGGCCGUUCUUAGUUGGUGGAGCGAUUUGUCUGGUUAUUCCGUUAACGAACGAGACCUCAGCCUGCUAACUAGCUAUGCGGAGGUAUCCCUCCGCGGCCAGCUUCUUAGAGGACUACGCCUUUCAAGCCCGCGAAGUUUGAGGCAAUAACAGGUCUUGAUGCCCUUAGAUGUUCUGGCGCACGCGCGCCUACACUGAUGUAUUCAACGAGCAUAUAGCCUUGGCCGACACCGGUAAUCUUUGAAAUUUCAUCGUGAUGGGAUAGAUCAUUGCAAUUGGUCUUCAACGAGGAAUUCCUAGUAACGCGAGUCAUCAGCCGCGUUGACUACGUCCCUGCCCUUUGUACACACCGCCCGUCGCUCCUACCGAUUGAAUGAUCCGGUGAAGUGUUCGAUCGCGGCGACGUGGCGGUUCGCUGCCCGACGUCGCGAGAAGUCACUGAACCUUAUCAUUUAGAGGAAGGAGAAGUCGUAACAAGGUUUCCGUAGGUGAACCUGCGAAGGAUCAUUG